Anolis sagrei ordinatus is the source of this 626-nucleotide non-coding RNA. The record is from RefSeq and is a predicted model, not a curated record. NCBI's taxonomy places the organism in Eukaryota, Metazoa, Chordata, Lepidosauria, Squamata, Anolidae.
UGCAGAGUCUUCAUCACAGUCGGGUGAGAUGCUUGGGGUUCUGUGCUAGAAAUCCCAAGCCUACUCCCAUGAACUCCAGUAGAGAAUCCUAAAUAUCAAACUACAGAUGCCAGGGUUUUGUGGGAUGUGUAGUCCCUCUUCUGCCAGGUGUCUCCUCAGAAUGAAGCCUCUCUCAGACUUUACAAUCUAUUGAUGAAUAUAAAUCCGAAGCUGUUUGGGGUCUGGGCCCUGAAAGAGAAGGAACGGGGGAGAGAGAAAAGGAGGAGAGUGGAAGGAAAGAAUGAAUAAAGGAGGAGAGUGGAAGGAAGGCCAGAGCAUCCCUGGGAAAGAUGUCUACAUUUCUCAAAGGCUGGAAAGCCCACCUCCCCCAGUGUCAUCACUCAUCCGAUAAACUCUGAGACCUGUUACGUUAGUGGUGAAAUUUCUGCAACCAAUCUUUGUCAUCAAGGAGCGAAGGAGAUCAGAAGGGGGGAAAAGGAGGCUGACAGAGGCAAAAAAGGAAGAGCAACCCCGUCAGGAUCAGUCAGCACUGUCACACACUUGGAUUGGCCUUCAUGCACUGAUUUAAUUGUAUCUGUGAACUGCCAUGCACCAAUAAUGAGGCUUUAAUAAAUGUGCUGCAAGUC